CAGCCGCCACGGUAAUACGAAGGGGGCUAGCGUUGCUCGGAAUGACUGGGCGUAUAGGGCGCGUAGGCGGAUUGCGCAGUCAGAUGUGAAAUUCCUGGGCUUAACCUGGGGGCUGCAUUUGAGACACGUAGUCUAGAGUGUGAAAGAGGGUCGUGGAAUUCCCAGUGUAGAGGUGAAAUUCGUAGAUAUUGGGAAGAACACCGGUGGCGAAGGCGGCGACCUGGUUCAUAACUGACGCUGAGGCGCGAAAGCGUGGGGAGCAAACAGGAUUAGAUACCCCCGUAGUCCCUGUCUCUUAUAC
Molecule: ribosomal RNA, 301 nt
Filed under: uncultured bacterium
Lineage: Bacteria
Description: partial 16S ribosomal RNA
Rfam family: Bacterial small subunit ribosomal RNA
Source: RNAcentral